Molecule: ribosomal RNA, 505 nt
Filed under: uncultured bacterium
Lineage: Bacteria
Description: partial 16S ribosomal RNA
Rfam family: Bacterial small subunit ribosomal RNA
Source: RNAcentral
GACGAACGCUGGCGGCGUGCCCAAUACAUGCAAGUAGAACGCACAGUUUAUACCGUAGCUUGCUACACCAUAGACUGUGAGUUGCGAACGGGUGAGUAACGCGUAGGUAACCUGCCUGGUAGCGGGUGAUAACUAUUGGAAACGAUAGCUAAUACCGCAUAAUAUUAAUUAUUGCAUGAUAAUUAAUUGAAAGGUGCAAUUGCACCACUACCAGAUGGACCUGCGUUGUAUUAGCUAGUAGGUGAGGUAACGGCUCACCUAGGCGACGAUACAUAGCCGACCUGAGAGGGUGAUCGGCCACACUGGGACUGAGACACGGCCCAGACUCCUACGGGAGGCAGCAGUAGGGAAUCUUCGGCAAUGGACGAAAGUCUGACCGAGCAACGCCGCGUGAGUGAAGAAGGUUUUCGGAUCGUAAAGCUCUGUUGUAAGAGAAGAACGGGUGUGAGAGUGGAAAGUUCACACUGUGACGGUAUCUUACCAGAAAGGGACGGCUAACUACGUG